AGGAUUAACGCUGGCGGCGUACACGAUGCAUGCAAGUCGAGCGUGGUUUAUCGGCUUCGGUUGAUAAAUCUAGCGGCGAACGGGUGAGUAACACGUGAGCAACCUACCUUUUAGUUUGGGAUAGCCCUGCGAAAGCAGGAUUAAUACCGAAUGUGGACACAGCACGACAUCGUGAGGUGUGUAAAGCAGUAAUGCGCUAAUAGAUGGGCUCGCGGCCUAUUAGCUUGUUGGUGGGGUAAUGGCCUACCAAGGCGGUGAUGGGUAGCUGGUCUGAGAGGACGAUCAGCCACAUUGGGACUGAGACACGGCCCAAACUCCUACGGGAGGCAGCAGUGGGGAAUAUUGGACAAUGGGCGCAAGCCUGAUCCAGCAAUGCCGCGUGGGUGAAGAAGGUCUUCGGAUUGUAAAGCCCUUUCGACGGGGACGAUGAUGACGGUACCCGUAGAAGAAGCCCCGGCUAACUUCGUGCCAGCAGCCGC
This 479-nucleotide ribosomal RNA is filed under the name uncultured bacterium. RNAcentral describes it as "SSU rRNA". It matches the Rfam family "Bacterial small subunit ribosomal RNA", at positions 26 to 518 of the family's 1533-position model. The record is from RNAcentral.